Molecule: ribosomal RNA, 465 nt
Filed under: Vreelandella stevensii
Lineage: Bacteria; Pseudomonadati; Pseudomonadota; Gammaproteobacteria; Oceanospirillales; Halomonadaceae
Description: partial 16S ribosomal RNA
Rfam family: Bacterial small subunit ribosomal RNA
Source: RNAcentral
CCUACGGGGGGCUGCAGUGGGGAAUAUUGGACAAUGGGGGCAACCCUGAUCCAGCCAUGCCGCGUGUGUGAAGAAGGCCCUCGGGUUGUAAAGCACUUUCAGUGAGGAAGAACGCCUGGUGGUUAAUACCCAUCAGGAAAGACAUCACUCACAGAAGAAGCACCGGCUAACUCCGUGCCAGCAGCCGCGGUAAUACGGAGGGUGCGAGCGUUAAUCGGAAUUACUGGGCGUAAAGCGCGCGUAGGUGGCUUGAUAAGCCGGUUGUGAAAGCCCCGGGCUUAACCUGGGAACGGCAUCCGGAACUGUCAAGCUAGAGUGUAGAAGAGGAAGGUAGAAUUCCCGGUGUAGCGGUGAAAUGCGUAGAGAUCGGGAGGAACACCAGUGGCGAAGGCGGCCUUCUGGACUGACACUGACACUGAGGUGCGAAAGCGUGGGUAGCAAACAGGAUUAGAUACCCGAGUAGUC